This 71-nucleotide transfer RNA is filed under the name Heterocephalus glaber (naked mole-rat). It matches the Rfam family "tRNA". From Rfam's summary of the family: Transfer RNA (tRNA) molecules are approximately 80 nucleotides in length. Their secondary structure includes four short double-helical elements and three loops (D, anti-codon, and T loops). The record is from Rfam by way of RNAcentral. Lineage: Eukaryota; Metazoa; Chordata; Mammalia; Rodentia; Bathyergidae.
AGGGAUGUGGCUCAGUGGUAGAGAACUUACCUAGUGUGUGAGAGAUCCUGGGUUCAAUCUCAGCAACCCCC